UAAAGAGCUCGUAGGCGGCUUGUCGCGUCGGUUGUGAAAGCCCGGGGCUUAACCCCGGGUCUGCAGUCGAUACGGGCAGGCUAGAGUUCGGUAGGGGAGAUCGGAAUUCCUGGUGUAGCGGUGAAAUGCGCAGAUAUCAGGAGGAACACCGGUGGCGAASGCGGAUCUCUGGGCCGAUACUGACGCUGAGGAGCGAAAGCGUGCGGAGCGAACAGGAUUAGAUACCCUGGUAGUCCACGCCGUAAACGGUGGGCACUAGGUGUGGGCAACAUUCCACGUUGUCCGUGCCGCAGCUAACGCAUUAAGUGCCCCGCCUGGCGAGUACGGCCGCAAGGCUARAACUCAAAGGAAUUGACGGKGGCCCGCACAAGCGGCGGAGCAUGUGGCUUAAUUCGACGCAACGCGAAGAACCUUACCAAGGCUUGACAUACACCGGAAAGCAUCAGAGAUGGUGCCCCCCUUGUGGUCGGUGUACAGGUGGUGCAUGGCUGUCGUCAGCUCGU
Molecule: ribosomal RNA, 503 nt
Filed under: Streptomyces sp.
Lineage: Bacteria; Bacillati; Actinomycetota; Actinomycetes; Kitasatosporales; Streptomycetaceae
Description: bacterial SSU rRNA
Source: RNAcentral